This 273-nucleotide ribosomal RNA is filed under the name uncultured bacterium. RNAcentral's name for it is "partial 16S ribosomal RNA". It matches the Rfam family "Bacterial small subunit ribosomal RNA", at positions 524 to 796 of the family's 1533-position model. The record is from RNAcentral.
UACAGAGGGUGCAAGCGUUAAUCGGAAUUACUGGGCGUAAAGCGCGCGUAGGCGGUUUAAUCAGUCGGAUGUGAAAGCCCCGGGCUCAACCUGGGAACUGCAUUCGAUACUGUUAAGCUAGAGUAUGGUAGAGGGAAGUGGAAUUCCAGGUGUAGCGGUGAAAUGCGUAGAUAUCUGGAGGAACAUCAGUGGCGAAGGCGACUUCCUGGACCAAUACUGACGCUGAGGUGCGAAAGCGUGGGGAGCAAACAGGAUUAGAAACCCCAGUAGUCC